CUCUUGAAUAAAGAGUUAUUUCAUGUGCUUUUGAACUUAUAUUUGUGAAAAAAUCAUGAGUGAUGUUAGUUUAUUUUUAUUUUUUUUGUAGCUAACUUGGAUGUUUUCAUUAUCUUAAUUAAGUGUAAUUAUUUUUUAGAUUUUAAUAGCUAUUGGGUUAAAGAUAAUGAUUUCAUAGUUAAAUAUUUGCACAAAGGAAUGAGUGAGCUUAAGAGUCUAUUGUGAUGAAAUUAUUGUGUUGAUGGCUGAAUAUUCAGGAUUGCUGCAGCAAAACUGAAGCAUUGUGAUCAGCUGCAUUUUGGAGCAUGGAACACGUGGCAGUCAAGAGUCAAGCUUACAUUUCAGCUGAUGUGGCAGUGGCAGAAGGAAAUAUCAGCAUAAUGGAGAAAAGGACAAAAGAGAAGGAAGACUUGUUGUUUUGGGAGAAAAAGAGGGGCAUUAUGGUACUUUUGGAGGAGAAGAAGAUAACCUAAUAUACCAAAAGAAUGCUCCAGCCGUAAGCAUCAAGCAGCAGCCAUUUUUGGCAAAGGAAACCAGUGAGAAUAUCAGAGAAAACCCCAGGAAGAAAUAGAAGAGAGGGUCAAGGAAGAAGGAGGCCAACCCAAGAAACUCAAGCAUCAUUUGGAUUUGUAAUUUACUAUAUGAACGAGCAAGAAGACAUUGAAUUAGCUCCUAUUGACCCCGAGAUUGAAAGAACAAUUAGAAGAAGACUAAGGGAACAACGGGCUCAAAAUCGCCUUAAUAUGGCUGAAGAGGUUGAA
Long non-coding RNA from Humulus lupulus (European hop), 761 nucleotides. RefSeq lists it as uncharacterized. The record is from RefSeq and is a predicted model, not a curated record. Lineage: Eukaryota; Viridiplantae; Streptophyta; Magnoliopsida; Rosales; Cannabaceae. The transcript has 2 exons.